UUAAGCGACUAAGCGUACACGGUGGAUGCCCUGGCAGUCAGAGGCGAUGAAGGGCGUGCUAAUCUGCGAUAAGCGCCGGUAAGGUGAUAUGAACCGUUAUAACCGGCGAUACCCGAAUGGGGAAACCCAGUGUGAUUCGUCACACUAUCAUUAACUGAAUCCAUAGGUUAAUGAGGCGAACCGGGGGAACUGAAACAUCUAAGUACCCCGAGGAAAAGAAAUCAACCGAGAUUCCCCCAGUAGCGGCGAGCGAACGGGGAGGAGCCCAGAGCCUGAAUCAGCAUGUGUGUUAGUGGAAGCGUCUGGAAAGGCGCGCGAUACAGGGUGACAGCCCCGUACACAAAAGCGCAUGUGCUGUGAGCUCGAUGAGUAGGGCGGGACACGUGGUAUCCUGUCUGAAUAUGGGGGGACCAUCCUCCAAGGCUAAAUACUCCUGACUGACCGAUAGUGAACCAGUACCGUGAGGGAAAGGCGAAAAGAACCCCGGCGAGGGGAGUGAAAAAGAACCUGAAACCGUGUACGUACAAGCAGUGGGAGCCCCACCACUAAGCCAGUGGUGAACUCCACAUACGCAUCCUUUGCUGAGGAUACGGUUAACGGAGCGAAAGCGACGUUCAACCGCAAAACAAGCAGAGGGGGCUUAGUGGUGGGGUGACUGCGUACCUUUUGUAUAAUGGGUCAGCGACUUAUAUUCUGUAGCAAGGUUAACCGUAUAGGGGAGCCGCAGGGAAACCGAGUCUUAACCGGGCGUUAAGUUGCAGGGUAUAGACCCGAAACCCGGUGAUCUAGCCAUGGGCAGGUUGAAGGUUGGGUAACACUAACUGGAGGACCGAACCGACUAAUGUUGAAAAAUUAGCGGAUGACCUGUGGCUGGGGGUGAAAGGCCAAUCAAACCGGGAGAUAGCUGGUUCUCCCCGAAAGCUAUUUAGGUAGCGCCUCGUGAAUUCAUCUCCGGGGGUAGAGCACUGUUUCGGCUAGGGGGCCAUCCCGGCUUACCAACCCGAUGCAAACUGCGAAUACCGGAGAAUGUUAUCACGGGAGACACACGGCGGGUGCUAACGUCCGUCGUGAAGAGGGAAACAACCCAGACCGCCAGCUAAGGUCCCAAAGUCAUGGUUAAGUGGGAAACGAUGUGGGAAGGCCCAGACAGCCAGGAUGUUGGCUUAGAAGCAGCCAUCAUUUAAAGAAAGCGUAAUAGCUCACUGGUCGAGUCGGCCUGCGCGGAAGAUGUAACGGGGCUAAACCAUGCACCGAAGCUGCGGCAGCGACACUGUGUGUUGUUGGGUAGGGGAGCGUUCUGUAAGCCUGCGAAGGUGGCCUGUGAGGGUUGCUGGAGGUAUCAGAAGUGCGAAUGCUGACAUAAGUAACGAUAAAGCGGGUGAAAAGCCCGCUCGCCGGAAGACCAAGGGUUCCUGUCCAACGUUAAUCGGGGCAGGGUGAGUCGACCCCUAAGGCGAGGCCGAAAGGCGUAGUCGAUGGGAAACGGGUUAAUAUUCCCGUACUUGGUGUUACUGCGAAGGGGGGACGGAGAAGGCUAUGUUGGCCGGGCGACGGUUGUCCCGGUUUAAGCGUGUAGGUGUGUGUUCCAGGUAAAUCCGGUUCACUUUAACACUGAGGCGUGAUGACGAGGCACUACGGUGCUGAAGCAACAAAUGCCCUGCUUCCAGGAAAAGCCUCUAAGCAUCAGGUAACAUCAAAUCGUACCCCAAACCGACACAGGUGGUCAGGUAGAGAAUACCAAGGCGCUUGAGAGAACUCGGGUGAAGGAACUAGGCAAAAUGGUGCCGUAACUUCGGGAGAAGGCACGCUGACACGUAGGUGAAGUGAUUUACUCAUGGAGCUGAAGUCAGUCGAAGAUACCAGCUGGCUGCAACUGUUUAUUAAAAACACAGCACUGUGCAAACACGAAAGUGGACGUAUACGGUGUGACGCCUGCCCGGUGCCGGAAGGUUAAUUGAUGGGGUCAGCGCAAGCGAAGCUCCUGAUCGAAGCCCCGGUAAACGGCGGCCGUAACUAUAACGGUCCUAAGGUAGCGAAAUUCCUUGUCGGGUAAGUUCCGACCUGCACGAAUGGCGUAAUGAUGGCCAGGCUGUCUCCACCCGAGACUCAGUGAAAUUGAACUCGCUGUGAAGAUGCAGUGUACCCGCGGCAAGACGGAAAGACCCCGUGAACCUUUACUAUAGCUUGACACUGAACAUUGAGCCUUGAUGUGUAGGAUAGGUGGGAGGCUUUGAAGCGUGGACGCCAGUCUGCGUGGAGCCGACCUUGAAAUACCACCCUUUAAUGUUUGAUGUUCUAACGUGGACCCGUGAUCCGGGUUGCGGACAGUGUCUGGUGGGUAGUUUGACUGGGGCGGUCUCCUCCUAAAGAGUAACGGAGGAGCACGAAGGUUGGCUAAUCCUGGUCGGACAUCAGGAGGUUAGUGCAAUGGCAUAAGCCAGCUUGACUGCGAGCGUGACGGCGCGAGCAGGUGCGAAAGCAGGUCAUAGUGAUCCGGUGGUUCUGAAUGGAAGGGCCAUCGCUCAACGGAUAAAAGGUACUCCGGGGAUAACAGGCUGAUACCGCCCAAGAGUUCAUAUCGACGGCGGUGUUUGGCACCUCGAUGUCGGCUCAUCACAUCCUGGGGCUGAAGUAGGUCCCAAGGGUAUGGCUGUUCGCCAUUUAAAGUGGUACGCGAGCUGGGUUUAGAACGUCGUGAGACAGUUCGGUCCCUAUCUGCCGUGGGCGCUGGAGAACUGAGGGGGGCUGCUCCUAGUACGAGAGGACCGGAGUGGACGCAUCACUGGUGUUCGGGUUGUCAUGCCAAUGGCACUGCCCGGUAGCUAAAUGCGGAAGAGAUAAGUGCUGAAAGCAUCUAAGCACGAAACUUGCCCCGAGAUGAGUUCUCCCUGAGACUUAGAGUCUCCUGAAGGAACGUUGAAGACGACGACGUUGAUAGGCCGGGUGUGUAAGCGCAGCGAUGCGUUGAGCUAACCGGUACUAAUGAACCGUGAGGCUUAACCUU
Molecule: ribosomal RNA, 3004 nt
Filed under: Salmonella enterica subsp. enterica serovar Aberdeen
Lineage: Bacteria; Pseudomonadati; Pseudomonadota; Gammaproteobacteria; Enterobacterales; Enterobacteriaceae
Description: bacterial LSU rRNA
Rfam family: Bacterial large subunit ribosomal RNA
Source: RNAcentral